RNAcentral lists this unclassified non-coding RNA (89 nucleotides) under Pseudomonas asplenii. The record is from RNAcentral. Lineage: Bacteria; Pseudomonadati; Pseudomonadota; Gammaproteobacteria; Pseudomonadales; Pseudomonadaceae.
UGUGGGAGCCGGCUUGCUGGCGAUAGCGCUGUGUCAGACCAGAAGAUGUCGACGGUCGGAACGCUAUCGCCAGCAAGCCGGCUCCCACA